This 468-nucleotide ribosomal RNA is filed under the name uncultured bacterium. RNAcentral's name for it is "partial 16S ribosomal RNA". It matches the Rfam family "Bacterial small subunit ribosomal RNA", at positions 28 to 507 of the family's 1533-position model. The record is from RNAcentral.
GACGAACGCUGGCGGCGUGCUUAACACAUGCAAGUCGAACGGAAAGGCCCUGCUUUUGUGGGGUGCUCGAGUGGCGAACGUGUGAGUAACACGUGAGUAACCUGCCCUUUACUUUGGGAUAACUUCAGGAAACUUGGGCUAAUACCGGAUAGGAGCUCCUGCUGCAUGGUGGUGGUUGGUAAGUUUCGGCGGUUGGGGAUGGACUCGCGGCUUAUCCGCUUGUUGGUGGGGUAGUGGCUUACCAAGGCUUUGACGGGUAGCCGGCCUGAGAGGGUGACCGGCCACAAUGGGACUGAGAGACGGCCCAGACUCCUACGGGAGGCAGCAGGGGGGAAUAUUGCACAAUGGGCGGAAGCCUGAUGCAGCAACGCCGCGUGCGGGAUGACGGCCUUCGGGUUGUAAACCGCUUUCGCCUGUGACGAAGAGUGAGUGACGGUAAUGGGUAAAGAAGCACCGGCUAACUACGUG